GGGAAGCAGGAAGGCUGGUGUCUCUGAUUCUUCCUGAAGCACCUGGACUAGGGGAGGCCUUACUGUUUGAAUUUUUAACAAUGAGGAGAAGUUUACCAGGAGGAAAAGGAAUCAUCUUAAAAUUAAUGAGGAGGCUGAGCCAGGACGAUCACUUGAGCCCACGAAGUCAAGGCUACCCUGAGCCAUGUUCAUGCCACUGCACUCUAGCCUGAGUGACAGAGCAAGACCCGGUCUCCAGAAAGAAAGAAGAAAGAGAAAGAAAGAAGAAAAAGAGAGAAAGAAGGAAAGAAACAUAGAUAGACUAAUGCAGCUUCUCAGUUAUUUUGGUAUCAUGAACAGAGUAUUCUGAAAGGAGAAUAAAAUAAUUCUGGACCCACUUAAAUGUAUUUUUCAUAAGCUAAUAAAUCAGCAUAUGCCUGUUGAGAAUGUUAAUAAAACUAAGAAUGACA
RNAcentral lists this long non-coding RNA (449 nucleotides) under Pan troglodytes (chimpanzee). Its description in RNAcentral is "long non-coding RNA NONPTRT016418". The record is from RNAcentral. Lineage: Eukaryota; Metazoa; Chordata; Mammalia; Primates; Hominidae.